AAAUACAUGUCGUUAAUUAUAAGAUCUUGCACAUAAUAUCGCAAGUAGCUAGAUCAUCAACACAUGAUUCGUAAGAGUACUAAAGAGUUCAUAAUAAUAUCAGAUCAUACAUCAAGCUGAAUUCAUAUAUCCUCCCCCCCUUAAUUAAGACCACUUGGACUUUUUACAGAUCCAGUUCUUCAGAGGAUUACAAAUAUUAUAUACUUUUAACUAUAAGUUGCUUUUUAGUGCAAUUAUUUAAGUUGUUUAUAUAUAUCAAGCAGAAGUCCAUACAUAUAUAACGUGAAAUGGACAUUCAUUUCAAUUAGUAUGGACUUUGGCCUAUGACAUUACCUGGAGGAUCAUAGUUGCAAGAGACAACAUAUCCUCCAUUGUUGCACUUAACCCUAGCACAUCCAACACGAACCGAGUUACGCCAAACCACCUGAGUAUAGUGUCCACACACCUGUCCUUGUGCACAAGUAUUUGAGUCAUGGUCAUAGUACUGUUUCUCAUCGACCCACAUCUCGACGGCCUUAGCAGCCGUCAUAAAAUCGCCACUUCCCUGAGCUAGGUUUUCGCCGUAUUGGCCAUGAGAAUGUACGAGGUUGCAGUCUGCAGCCAAUUGAGAAACAUAAUUUUGUGCAUAGGCUGCUACCCCGUUGUCCCAAGUUAAUGGUUCCACGCCUACAUCUGCACGAGCUGUGUUAUGGGCAUCCAAAUAGUCUUGUUGAGAGUUUUGGGCAUGAGAAGAGUGAGAUAUUAUUAGGAAUAAGAGAAGUGUAGAGACAAGAAAAAAUGAGGGCAUUUGUGAAAAGAGAAAAAAUCCCAUGACUAUAGGAGAAAUGUUUUAUUUUGAAUGGAAAAACUAGAUUUACUACCACAGGUAUUUAUAGGAGAAAUCUUGAAGAUUUCACGGCGAUCAUUCAUGCACUUACUAAAAAUUUUUGACAUGGUAAUAUCAAUGUAAUAUAUCUUGUUAUAGAUAGUUAUUUAUCCUAUUUUCUAGGUUAUCAUAUUUUAAACUUAUAUAAGCAGUUACCAAUUAUUGUAAAAUAUUUUACCUGAUGUUGCAAAAUAAUUUUAAAUUGUCCAUGCAUGAAGUUAAACACUUUUUUGAUCUAGUAGAUGUGUUUUUUGUUAAAUAAAAUAGACUGGUUAUGGUUACUUGGUUAUGGUUACUGUGUUAAUUCUUCUAAUAUUUUCUACAUUUAACGAUCUGAUUAAUUUUUGCUUCGAUAUUUAUAUCUCUUUUGUUUCAGAAUGGGAAUGUCCAUUGGAAAAAGAAUUUAAAAUAAAUACUUUUUGGUGUUUCUUUUUUCUAAUAAUCUUAUUUCUAAAUCUUAUAUUAUAUUUCUUAUAAUAAUUUGUACAAUCAAUUCUCUAAAAGAAAAAAAUUAUAAUAAAACCAAACACAGUGUGUGUGUCUUCUUCUUUCUUUUCUCAAUAUUUGUGGAAAACUUGAACAUGGGCAGUCAUCUCGAUGACGUUAAAUAACUUUCAAAUUUGGAGGCAAAGCAUAUUUGGAUAUUCUUCAGUUCUUUCUCUAAUUUCCUUCCCUACACGUUACUCAUGUACUAUCACACUUUUCUAUUAUCUCAUUCCAAUCACAACUUGACUUUAGAUUCAAAUGGCAAUUUUUUUUUUUUGUGUGUGUAAAUAGCUUAUGUUUAUUUCGUUUCUCGACAUUAGUGGAAAAGAAAGCUCAAGUUUUAGGGAAAAAGCUAGAGUUUGAAAUCCUCUAGGGUGUUUUAAGAUUUAACUACUUUAUUUUUCCCAGAAAUAACACCCUAAAGCAUCUCGCUGUAAUGGCAUUCACUUAUUUUCCCUAUAAUUUUAAUGGAUAAAUGACAACCAAACUCCUUAAAAAGACUUCGGCCAAUGCUUUAGGUGGUGAAGUAUAGACCCAAGAGAAGACUUACAAGAGAGACCAGUGUUUUUGUUAUGCAAAAAGAGUAAUUUGAUUCAGUUAUAUACACUGAUAAUGCGGAAGAAUUUUGUAACUAUUGCCAUUUAGCAAUUUACCAUAAAAGUUACAUAUAAUUGUAAGUCAAACUUAUCGUGAAAUGAAAAAAUUUAUACACUAUUAGAUGAAAAAAAAAUGAAAACUUAAACUCUACACUAUGAUAAUUGACAUCCUCAUAUACCUUAGUCCUUAAAAAAGGUUUAUGUGCUACGAUCCCUAGGUAAAGGUUUGCGCCAUCAGGGUCACAAAUUGUGCCUCACGACUUGACUAUAAGAUCAAAAAUCUAAAAAAGUAAGUUAUCUUAAUUAAUUUAUUAUAUUGAUAAUAGAGCUUAAAAUUCAAAUGUUCUUGAGGUUUCACUUUUCUUUUUGCAAUACAUUCCUCAUUGAGUAACUUUAUAGAAUUAAAAAAAUGAUACAGUGAGAAAUCAUAGUAGCAAAUCUGAUUGCCAAUGCAUGAAGUUAAACACUUUUUUGAUCUAGUAGAUGUGUUUUUUGUUAAAUAAUUAAAAUAGUCUGGUUAUGGUUACUAUGUUAAUUCUUGUAACGACCCGACUUGUCGUUUUGAACAUUUACGCUCAUUUCAACUAUUUGAAGUCUUGAAUAGCUUCAUAUGAUAUAUUAUGAUGUGUGUGAAUCGUCGGUUUUGAUGUUUCAGGUGUUUCGGGAUUAGUUCGGAAGAAUAAAUUUCAUGUUGGAAACUUAAAUGAAAAGAGUUGACCGGAAUUUUGACUUUUGUGCAAACGACUCCGGAAUAGAGUUUUGAUGAUUUCAAUAGCUCCGUACGGUGAUUUUGGACUUAGGAGUAUGUCCGAAAAAUUAUUUGGAAGUUCGUAGUUAAAUUAGGCUUGAAAUGGCGAAAGUAGGAAAUUUAAGUUUGGAAGUUUGAUCGGGGAGUUGACUUUUUAAUAUCGGGGUUAGAAUCCAGUUCUGAAAAUUUUUAUAGGUUCGUUAUGUCAUUUAUGAUUGUGUGCAAAAUUUGAGGUCAAUCAGACUUGAUUCGAUAGGUUUCGAUAUCGAAUGUAGAAGUUGAAAUUUGUUGGUUUCUAUUAGGAUUGAAUUGGGGUGCGAUUCGUGAUUUUAGCGUUAUUUUAUGUGAUUUGAGGCCUAAACUAAGGUCGUAUAAUAUUUUAGGACUUGUUGGUAUAUUUGGUUGGGGUCCCGGGGGCCUCGGGUGUGUUUCAGGUGUUAUCGGGUGAUUUUGGGCUACUUUGGAUGCAGGUUUUCUGAUAUCUGAUUUUGUUCUUCGCGUUUGCGACUCUCGCGUUCGAGAAGAAGGAUUUGGCUUUUGGGAUUUUGUUCUUCGCGUUCGCGAAGAAAGAAAUUCCUGUUGUCCGUCGUCCGACUUUGGAAGCUUAUAUCUCGCAAUCUAUAAGGAAUUGGAAGAUGAUCAAAACAUGAAAGUUGUAUCCCUUGAUGUUUAGUUUUCAGAAAGUCAAACCAUUUGUCAUAUGGACUUUUGUACAAAAAGUUAUGUCCAUUAUACUAGAGGCUGUCUAGGAAGAGUUUGAAAAUGGCCGUUGAGGAAUAUGUUCAUCGUGAAUGCGAGAUGAUGGUCACGAACGCGAAGAACAUACCCCUAGGCAGCAGAUUUAAGUUCUGAAAAUAGGACUCCAUUCCAUUUUCUAUUUUUAACGAUUUAGAGCUCAGGGAGAGGCGAUGUUUAGGAGAUUUUCAAGAAAAAUAAUGGGAUAAGUGUUCUUAACUCAAUUUUGGUCAAAUUACCCGAAUCUAUUGCUAUUUUUAGCAUUUAAUUGAUGUUUAAGUUGAAAAAAUUGUGAAAACCCUUAAGGUUAAAUUGAAAAUUUGAGGGUCGAGUUGAUGUCAGAAUUUGAUAAAUUUGGUAUGGUUGGACUCGUGGUUGAAUGAGCGUUCAUAUUUUAUAACUUUUGUCGGGUUCUGAGACGUGAGCCCCACUGGCGAUGUUUUAGUGUAAUUUUAGAUUUUGUUGGAAAAUAAGUAUUUUCAUAUGGAAUUAAUUCCUAUAAAUUGUGUUGACUGUAUCGAAUUAAUUGUGACUAGAUUCGAGGCGUUCGGAGGCCGAUUUGCAAGGCAAAAGCAUAUUGGAAUAAAGAAUUACACGGUUUGAGGUAAAUAACACUUCUAAACUUGGUUUUGAGGGUAUAAAUCCCUGAAUUACAUAUUAUGUGAAUUGUAUGGAGGUGACGCACAUGCUAGGUGACGGGCGUGCACCAUAGAAAUUGUGACUUAAUUGAUUCCGUGGAGUUGCACAAUCAAAUAAUCAUGUCAUUAUCCAUAUAUCAUCCACGUGUUAGAGGAAAUUGAGUUGAGACUCAUGUUAAAGAUCAUGUUUAGGCUACAUGCCGAUAUUUUGGGAUCCACAGAGGUCUGAUUGCUAUUGAAUUACUUGUUUUAAUUGUAAUUUUGUACUCAGUCACAUCUAUCAUUUGCAUAUCAUAUCUCAGUCUCUAUUGUCAUUCAUUGAUACAUCAUAUCAUCAUGUCAGAUUGAUUUUCAUGUCAUUGAGACGCCCGAGAGACUAGAGUAUUUUGAGUGANNNNNNNNNNNNNNNNNNNNNNNNNNNNNNNNNNNNNNNNNNNNNNNNNNNNNNNNNNNNNNNNNNNNNNNNNNNNNNNNNNNNNNNNNNNNNNNNNNNNNNNNNNNNNNNNNNNNNNNNNNNNNNNNNNNNNNNNNNNNNNNNNNNNNNNNNNNNNNNNNNNNNNNNNNNNNNNNNNNNNNNNNNNNNNNNNNNNNNNNNNNNNNNNNNNNNNNNNNNNNNNNNNNNNNNNNNNNNNNNNNNNNNNNNNNNNNNNNNNNNNNNNNNNNNNNNNNNNNNNNNNNNNNNNNNNNNNNNNNNNNNNNNNNNNNNNNNNNNNNNNNNNNNNNNNNNNNNNNNNNNNNNNNNNNNNNNNNNNNNNNNNNNNNNNNNNNNNNNNNNNNNNNNNNNNCUAGUAGAGUCUUGCAGAUCGGUAUGAUGACGUCCAUACGUAUCUUCGAGAGGCUACAUGGCAUUUAGGAUAAUUUUCCAUCUUUCUUUCCUUAUCGUGCGAAAUUGAUUCAGCUUGAAACAUAACUCUUUGAAUUCCCUCCAUGCAUUCGUAUGUGCAUGCAAGCGCUCGGUAUCAGCCGUGCAUCGACGGCUUGUGAUUCCAGGGAUGAGGAGCGAGAUGUGAUUUCUGUGUUUUGGUGAUGCGCCAAUCUGGAGGACUUGAGGCCAGGUUUAGACCGUAGCUUAGGCUCUGUAGCUACAAUUGUGUGAACUUGUACAUUUGGACUCAUAUAUCCGGUAGUGUCCCUAUGAGUGGAAAAUUAUGGCUCGAUGAGCGGUUGAAUAGCUAUAUGAUGAGUAUGAUAUGACUACGGGAUGUGUUCAGAUGGGUUGAAUGUGACGAAUAAAGUUUAUUUGCGAGUCAAGAGUUUGCUACUGGGUACUUGAUUUCUGUCUUGAUUUGACGUAUAGUCUCGAGUUGUGAGUGUAUUGAAGGAUCUUUAACGUUGUUUAAUUGUGGAAUAAAUUAAAUUCUCAUGUCUUGUUAAUGAGUUUGGACUCAGAAAGAUUAAGUGAUUGCGUAGUAAUUGAUACCCAAUUUUAUCCUCAUAUUUUUAAAAUAGUAUAUAUACUUUCAAAAUAUUAUUUUGCAUCAUUACUUAAUUUACAAGAGUUAUACAAGUAUUUUCUAUAAUAUUUUUAAUUGUUAAAGCAUUAAAAUUGAUUUUUUGGCAUUUUAAUUACUUGAAUAUGCAUUAAUUACCGCUUUAAAUUAUUUCGUGACGACUUAAUCGUCCAAAUUUAUUACUUGCAUCCAUAUGUAUAUUUUAUAAUAUUUUAUUUCAUUUGUAUAUAAUUAUAUUUGUAUUUUUGAGCUAUUUGCAUAAUUUUGCAAUAAUAACCUAUAAUAUAUGCGUAAUUAUAUUUUAUCACAUUAUUUGUGCCAAAAUAACAUUUUAUAUUUUUAUAAUGUUAAGCUAUUAAUUUCAAUCAUUUUACUAUACAAGUAAUAUUUUAUUAUUUAUAAAUUACUUCUUAUAAAUUAUUUUAAUUAAAUUUUGCAUAUUUAAUUUACAGCCCAAUACAAGGCUAAUUUCGGACCAAAUUACAAGGCCCAAACACUUAGCCCAUUCAUUUUUCUCUUCAGCAGCCCAGUCAAAUGACCCCUUUUAAAACCUGAUCGCGACCCGUUUAUUCAACCCGCCCCACCUACCUUUUAAUCUUGGUCGUUGAUCUCAUAUGAUCAACGACCCGAAAUUAAACCCUCACUCUCCUUAUAUCCCCACCCCAAACCCUAGAGACCAUUUUCUUUUCCCAGCCGCCCUCACACACUCUCAUCUUCUACGAACCCUAGCUGUCUUACCCCCAAAACAUCUCUUUGAAUCCGGUUAUACUAUGGAGUCCUACGAUCUGCUUACCUUAUUUACACUACCCUGCUACUAUUCACACGCUCUUGAUGUUACUUAGUACUCACCUAUUCUUGGCAAAUACCCAGCCUUGAGUUAUGAACAAUCGUCCUCAAUCUUUGAGACUUAGAUGAUAUUUCAUCUAUAUACACUCACCACCAGUUUCUAUGGGUCUGAUUCAGUGAGAUUUUUUUACCAUUUUUGUUCUUCAUCUUAAAUUAUGGUUUGCCCAUUUCUUCUUAAAUUGAUUUUAAUAGAUUUUGUAUCCUACAUUUUCCUUAUUUGUGUUUAAUCAAUUGUCUUUCCUUAUUUGGGCACUUAAUUUUGAUGCUAUAUAAACCCCUCCCCAAUUUCCCCUUUGAACAAAUGCUAGUCGCUAAAAACUACUACUGUCUUUCUUAUUCUUUCUUGUCUUACACUAUUCUGUGGCUCAAUCUUUUGGCCGGCUAAAAGCUAAGGCCACCGUAUUCUGUUAACCUUCCUCCAGUGCAAGCACUGCUCGGGGUCCAUUUCGAGGCUCGUGUGAACUUUGAAGCACUAGAGGUUUGGGGAUUUUUCAUCACUCUCCUGCAAUUGCUGCUAUUCCUGAGAUUCUGAGUCUCUCAUUCUUUAUUCGUUUGUAUGCAACUGGUUAGUGCCUUGUACCCUCGUAAUUUUACUCCUUUCUGUUUAUGCUUAUGUUAUGUGCAUUAGUGUCGUAUGGAUUUCUCUGAGUUAAUUUCGAUAUUAUGCCAUUUCAUAUACGAUUAUGUUUAUUUUAGCAUUACUCUAUAGUUCCAUUAGCUCCAAUUCUGUGUAAGUCUUGAUGUUAACUCAUAUUUGUAUAGUUAAGUUGAUUCAUGAUGUCUGCAUGAUUCGUAAUUGAAACCUAAUUGAUGGUUGUUGAACUUUGUUUAAUUUCUCAUACUGAAACCCCUUUGUGAGACUAUAUUCUUGCUCGAAAUUGCUUACUUUAUGUUGAAUCUUUUAUGCCUAAUUUGCUAUUUCUCUGCAAGUCAUGCCUAAAUGCUUAGCCUUAAUUGUGUCCAACCUGAAUGACCAUCAUGUUUACUUGUUGCUUAGUCUGAGUUUGGCUUCUUGCCUUAUUCUGUACUAUCAUGAUAACCAACUCAUGUGUUCCGAUACUUUAAAUGUGACCAAUUCUUGAUUGUGGUGACAGUCAAUUGUGAGCUUAAUGCAUGUUCCAUGUUUGGUCCAAUCCUGUGUUGCUUGAUACUGCUUAUAGCUUAUAAGAUGAAAUGCAACAUCUAUCCUUUAUGUGACAAUCUAGUCUUUGCCUAUUAUGAAUUUUGACCCUCUCAAGUGUCACCUGACCUUCAUAUUGAUCAUGAAUUCUUUAGACUUCGAAAUCUUUGUGUUAUACUCAGCAUGCUAGGCUGCCUAUUGAUCUAUCGUAGACCUUGCCUACUUGUUUGUUUACUAUGUCUAAUUGCCAUUCUCUUACUAUGACUUUAUUAGACCUUCAUGCCUUACACUCCCAGUUUUGAAUCUCUUUUAGGCUAACUUUGGCUUAUGCUUCACUAUAAACUCGGUGUUCUGAAAAACUAAGUGUGUAUAUGUGCUUACCAUGUAAACCUAAGUGAUAUGCCUCUCCAACUGUGCUAAUAUUGCACAUGUUAUCUCUUUCACUUGUUAUGAACUUAUGUUGUUAGUUUUUAUGUCAUUUGGAGAUUAAGUUCUACUGGUUCUCCUAGUUUCAUGUUUAAUCCCUUGUUUGAUCAAUCCCGUCACCCUAUCUCCUAAAAAUGCAAGUGCCAAUAUGCUUUCAUGUGAAUCCUGUUGAAUGUCAUGUAAUCCUGUCCCUAUGAGGUAUUACCUCAAGGUUGUUCGAUUGAUUGCUAUAUGUGGUUCGUUAGAUCAUAUGGCUAAGUGGUUUGUCUGUUAUCACUGGGUGUGGCAUGAACUCAUGCGUAGCCCUUGGCUGUGCAAAUGAUACACCCACCUGUUUGAGAUGCGUUUGGAUCUGGGUCUGCUGUUCGAGGGGGAAUGAAUCUAUUGAAGGCUCAGUCAUUGCUGGGUUAUUUUCAUUUGGGCCUGUCCUUGGGCCAACAGUUGUCCAGUGUGUAAUAUUUAUACUCAUAUGCAUUAUUUUGGGCUGUAAUAAUUUGUAAACUAGACAGUUGGGGAAAUCAGUGAAAUUGGGGAAUCGGGUACAUUCUAAUGCUUGCAUAAAGGGUAGAAAAUAUGCCUAUAGGGUCUACGUGGUCUAUUUGCUAUUUUGUUCAACAUGCCAUAUAUGCUAUUUGGUUUCAUGUAUUGUACACUAAUAGAAAUCAUUCCUACAGGAAUCACGCACACACUUUACUUCAUUUGUCAAAUAUGCUACAUUUGUUUCCAUGUCUACUAUCCAACACUUUUAGAUAACAUGUCUGUAGAAUGCAACAAUGCAAUACUUUUAUUUACAUAGAUGCCAUGACUAUAGGGUCAUAACUAAUUAAUCAACUACUUCGUGCUGUUUUUGUACUGCUUCACUUAGAUAGCAUGCCUAUAAGGAUAAAGUAUUACAAAAUCGAGUCUAUUUAUCAACUGUUAGAAAUCCUGCCCAUAGGAUGCUGAUUGACGCUGCUAAUCUUGUGUUUUCAAACGACUUCGCUGCCUAAUUAUGCGACUAUUAGAGAUCAUGCCUAUAGGGACUGUCACCUGCCUAAGACGCAUGUCUAUAAAACCAGCAUUAGUAAUUCAGAAAUAUGAGAUUGUUUUCACUACCUUAUUAUGCAAACAAUUAUCAUCCGAGCCAUUCAGGANNNNNNNNNNNNNNNNNNNNNNNNNNNNNNNNNNNNNNNNNNNNNNNNNNNNNNNNNNNNNNNNNNNNNNNNNNNNNNNNNNNNNNNNNNNNNNNNNNNNNNNNNNNNNNNNNNNNNNNNNNNNNNNNNNNNNNNNNNNNNNNNNNNNNNNNNNNNNNNNNNNNNNNNNNNNNNNNNNNNNNNNNNNNNNNNNNNNNNNNNNNNNNNNNNNNNNNNNNNNCAUCAAAACGAUGAAUCACACCUAAAUUUGAACUCAAAUGAACUUUGAACUUUCAACUUCCAAAACUCGCGCUGAAACAUAUCAAAUCAACCCGGAAUGAACUCAGAUUUAGCACACAAGUCCCAAAUGGCAUAUCGAAGCUAUUCCAAUUUCCGGAACCACAAUCCGAAUCUGAUAUCCUCAAAGUCAACUUCCGGUCAAACUUAUUAACUUUCCAAACCUUCAAAUUUCCAUCUUUCGCCAAUUAGUGUCGAAUCCUUCUAGGAACAUCCAAAUGCAAAUCCGAGCAUACGCCUGAGUCGAAAAUCACCAUUCGGACCUAACAGAACCAUUAAAACUCCAAUCUGAGGUCAAACAAUAAAAGUCAAACUUGGUAAACUCUUCCAACUAAAAGCUUAAAUCAUGGAAUUCAUUCUUCCAAUUCGAUUCCGAUUAACCUAAAAAUCAAAACCGACGAUUCACACAAGUCAUAAUACAUCAUACAGAGCUACUCAUGCCCUCAACUAUCGAGCGAAAUGCAAAUGCUCGAAAUGCCCGGUCGAGUUGUUACAUCCUUCCCCACUUAAAUAUACGUUCAUCCUCGAACGUGCCAAGAGUUAUUCCAAAGCCAUCAAAUCGCCGUGUAACCUUUCCAUGCACAUACUCGGGGGUGAUCCAACGUCACCUUAUUCCAUAUAGGCUUGACAACGCAACAUAACUAAAGAUCAUUACUUCAACCUUAGCCCGUAAACCAUAGAAUCCCAUUUCCAACAUCCGGAAUUUCCUAUAAGAUCUGAAUCUCGCAAUUACACACCGCAUAAGUGUGAACAAGUUGAAUCAAGCCAUAACCAUAACCCAAGAUGAAAUCACAUGAUAUACCACAUAAAUCAAAUACUCAUAGUAAUAAUUUUCGACCACAAUAACAACUCAAAGCAAACCUGGUACCGGUAAUAAACCUCAUAUCAAACAAAACCUCAUUCUAAAAACUUUGUACACUACCAAUGAUGGAAGAAACACGCAGAAACUCAAAACCACUUAUCAGAUCAACAAGUCAUAGAGCUUUCUCUCCUUCGACAAGAACUAUAGCCAAUUUCUAAGCCGACCAGCGACAUUAUCCUUCCAAAUAUACUGCAAACAAAUCUGAUGGCGCCCAUUUUAGGUCCAGUGACCUUACUUUAUCAAGCCCAACUAUCCUAUUGACAUGCCACACCAAUACUACCUAGAAAAUCAUGAACUGUGCAAUCCGUGCACCAAUAAGUAACAACUCAAAUGCACCCAAGAUGGAAAAUGGCUCAACUGAGAGAACCGACCCGCGAACUCAACAAGUACCACCACAAUCGCAAGGCUAUGAACCCAUCAUACAUAGUAGAACCAAAAUACACGAAUCUAUCACAAAGGAUCAUAUCCGAUCAUAACCCCGCUGCAAUAUGUGACCCCAUCCAAACAGUGGUCCACAUGAAAUACCUCGAGCCAUAAUGUUGAAUAUCAAUAACCACGCGUAAUGUAUCAUCAAGUGCCCAAUGUGCAUGACCGUAACCACGGAGAAGCAAAUAGCACAAUAUACCACUAUCCGGAGAGAACAUAACCAAGGCGCAAUUAACUAUUUGACACCCCAAUAACCAUCUCGCUCAAAUUUUAUUACAAGACCCAAACAGAACAUAUACCAUCAACUCUGGUCAUCCACAAAUAGAUAAAUAAUCUUCCGAAAGUCCACAAUGACCUAACCAUAACAUAUACCAUCAUUUGGCUAGGUUUGGCCGUAUCUUCACAGCCCAUAACCAUGAAACAAUCUGCUUUUGAGAACUCCCGGUCUCAAAAUCCAUAGAACACGUGAGUCACCAUAUCUGACCCCAACUCCACCACCCGAAUAUCUAACACAUCUCACAUACACAAUCAUCCCACAAGGAAUACUUUUAUAAUUCUUCCGUGCCACAUAGCAAACUAUGAAUAUCAGCAGUCAAUCACCCAAGCGGGUACCGCAAUACCAAUGAAGCAUCUGUAAGUCAACACUCAGUGCACCUUCUGAAAUGCACGCUUUCCUCAGGCAAUACCAAGUAGUAAUAUCAUUAAUCUAGUCAUCUGAAACCGCCCAUGUUGUCUAAGAAUUCAUGCCCUUCCUUUGAAAACUAAAUCGUGACCUUGCACACUCAAAUCUUAAUCCCACACAACAUACCACAUCUAUCAUGAAUAUGAAAAGUACGAUAAUCUCAUAAUCAACUCUAAGUCACAAGCAAACUAUAUACUCAAUUAGUGAGGAACCUUCCAUUUGAUCUCAUCCAGGAGAAAAUCACAACACGUAACAUAUUCCUCAUGCCAGUAGGAAAUAUACACCUCGAACCGUGGUAUAAACCAUUGAGAAUACUUUGAAAUCCAUUUUCACCUAACCAAUCCAUCAGAACUGAAUCACUUUAACUCAACCAAGCCACACAGGUCGCCAAACCUAAGAUUAUUACCACAAAUCACCCGUAGAGACUCACCACAUCAUAAGAACCAAAAGCACCGAGCAUACCAUUACAACACUGAUCGAACCUACUGCCAAGUUGUCUUGUUUCCUUCGAGUUUCUUCUGAAUUGCCUUCAAGUUGAUACUUCUCCUUUCCAAAACACCACGAUCCUGCCCAAAACUCAUCAUAAGAGACCCUAACAUAAAACCACAUCGCCCUAAGGCCCAUAAGCCGUCGUAUUCCUUCUUAAGAAUCCCUAAAAUACUGCAACUGAGACACCUACUCCGAAGAGACCUUCUGUAAAUCUAAUGCCAUUUCCUUCACCUUCCUGAUACUGAAAUGUAAAACCCAUAAUGAUAUAGAAAUACCGCAAGUCCCGACAUUAUCCGAUGCAAAUCUCAGAUUCUAGCCAUAUACAAAUCCGGAAUAUUCUCAAUUGUCAUAUAUAAAUCUUGAAUCUAUUAGAACCUUCUCAAGAGUCAUCCACUCUGCUCAAAUCUCAAUUGCACUGCCCAAGCUGUCCGAACAACCUGUGCCCUAUUAGCACAACAACACCCAAGGAAGUGACCCCGCCUUAACGUGACUGAGCAAAUUCCUACGCCAUGCGCACUACUUCCGUCACGAAUAGCAACUCGAAUCAUCUCAUAAUUUUCAUAUACCCAUAAAGUAUAACAUAAGCCAUAUCCAGAAAUUUCCUUACUCGAGUCAUCCUCAAAUCAACCUUUGCAAGUCAUAUCUGAUUCACAAGUAUGCCUCUAACCGAAGCUAGUACCACAUAAUCGCGCAAUCAAAUCAUCGAUAGCAGACUCCCCCACUUGGUUCAAAGCCAUAGAACAAAACACUUGACAACUCAUAAGGCCCACAAUCUAUUACUAACAUGAUCCCGUACCAAAAUUUAACUCAAUCCUUCACAAGCCCUUGUAACAUAAACCCUCUAAUACCUCAAAUCAUAUGCAAACCUCGUAUUCACCCUCGUGACGGUCAAGUCAACUAUUACAACCGAUCCUACUCAAAUCGCACAAGUAUAACCCACUGGUAGAAAAGAAAGCCUCCACACAGUAUCAUAAGGAUCACACAUCCGUAGAUUAUCCCGCAGGUGAUAACCCACAUGCUUAGCCUCAACUGACAUCUCUCUAUACCCUUUCACAACCACAACUACUACGCAAUAACCUAUUCUUCCUGAGUCUGAAUUCAUCAACAAGACAUGAAAAUCUAAUUCCUUCCACAAUUAAACAACAUGAAGGAUCCUUCAACAUACUCAUAACUCGAGACUAUACAACACAUUAAGACAGAAAUCAAGCACCCAAUAGUCCUUUUUACAUCUCAAGCAAACUAUUCUCAUCACAAUCAAACCUUCUGAACACAUCCCGCAGUCACAUCAUACUCAUCAUAUAGCCAUCCAGCCAUCGUCGAGUCACAAAUUCCACUCAUAGGGAUGCUACCAGACAUAUAAGUCCAAAAGCACGUGCUCACACAACUAAAAUCUCCGUACUCAAGCUGCAGUCAAAACCCGACCUCAAGUCCUCUAGACUGGCCCAUCAUCAGCGCACAGAAAUCAUAUCUCGCACCUCGUCCAUGGAAUCACAAGCCGGCGAUGCACAAUUGAUACUGAGCACUCACAUGCACAUACGAAUGCGUGGAGGGAAUUCAAAGAGUUAUGCUUCAAGCUAAAUCAAUACUGCAUGAUAAGGAAAUAAAGACGGGAAAUUAUCCUAANNNNNNNNNNNNNNNNNNNNNNNNNNNNNNNNNNNNNNNNNNNNNNNNNNNNNNNNNNNNNNNNNNNNNNNNNNNNNNNNNNNNNNNNNNNNNNNNNNNNNNNNNNNNNNNNNNNNNNNNNNNNNNNNNNNNNNNNNNNNNNNNNNNNNNNNNNNNNNNNNNNNNNNNNNNNNNNNNNNNNNNNNNNNNNNNNNNNNNNNNNNNNNNNNNNNNNNNNNNNNNNNNNNNNNNNNNNNNNNNNNNNNNNNNNNNNNNNNNNNNNNNNNNNNNNNNNNNNNNNNNNNNNNNNNNNNNNNNNNNNNNNNNNNNNNNNNNNNNNNNNNNNNNNNNNNNNNNNNNNNNNNNNNNNNNNNNNNNNNNNNNNNNNNNNNNNNNNNNNNNNNNNNNNNNNNNNNNNNNNNNNNNNNNNNNNNNNNNNNNNNNNNNNNNNNNNNNNNNNNNNNNNNNNNNNNNNNNNNNNNNNNNNNNNNNNNNNNNNNNNNNNNNNNNNNNNNNNNNNNNNNNNNNNNNNNNNNNNNNNNNNNNNNNNNNNNNNNNNNNNNNNNNNNNNNNNNNNNNNNNNNNNNNNNNNNNNNNNNNNNNNNNNNNNNNNNNNNNNNNNNNNNNNNNNNNNNNNNNNNNNNNNNNNNNNNNNNNNNNNNNNNNNNNNNNNNNNNNNNNNNNNNNNNNNNNNNNNNNNNNNNNNNNNNNNNNNNNNNNNNNNNNNNNNNNNNNNNNNNNNNNNNNNNNNNNNNNNNNNNNNNNNNNNNNNNNNNNNNNNNNNNNNNNNNNNNNNNNNNNNNNNNNNNNNNNNNNNNNNNNNNNNNNNNNNNNNNNNNNNNNNNNNNNNNNNNNNGGAACAAAGGUCGGAGUCCAACACCAGUAGCCAAUAACAAUUCAUAACAACAUAAUAAAAGUGAUAAAAGAAGUAACUCAGAGAUAUAGUGCUCAGCUCGUUCACAGUUUCAGAAAAUAGGCAUGAUUUUCAAGUAUAUCAGUAAAAACCCAAAUCUUUUAUCGAAAUCACCAAAAUAUGAGCACGUUUGCAAAACUGUGAUUUUUCCCGAAACUUUCAACAGGUAAAUGUUUCAUUUUCAAAUGGCAUGAGGAAAGUAUAUCUCUAUGCCUACAUGUCAAUGUGUAUGAUAAGUCAUGAAUGACGUGAUACCGUACAACAUAAGAAAAAUUCAUCUUUAUGCCUGUAUGUCAAGUGUGCAUGUCGAAUGCAAUGCAACUCAGUGAUAAAACCAUAUGCAUACUCUCAGAGUAUCAAUUCACUCAGUCCUCCCAGUCACUCAGUCCUCACAGUCACUCGGCACUCGCAUUUGGCACUCGCACUCAGUAGGUACCUACACUCAUUGAGGGUGUAUAAACUCCGCUGGGGAUCCUUCAGCCCAAGCGCUAUAACAAGCCAAUCAUGGCAUAAAUCAAUAAAACAUGCUGCGGCGUACAACACGAUCCCAUCAAUAUCCUCACCAUCAGGCCCUCGGCCUCACUCAGUCGUCAAUCUCUCCAGUCUCUCGGGCUCACAAUGUCAUGAAAAUCAGCCCAAAAUGAUGAUGUGAUAUAUUAAUAAAUGGUAACAAAGACUGAGACAUGAUAUGAAAUGAAUGCGUAUGUAAUUGCAAUGUAAGCAAAUAACUCUACAACAUAAAUGACCUCAGUGUGUCCCAACAGGAUAAGCAUAUAGCCUAGACAUGAUUUCUAACAUGGAUCACAGCUCAAUUACUCUAGCACGUAGAGAUUUCAUGGAUACAAAUAAGAUUAGGUAACUACACAGUACCACAGAAAUAACCGAGUCAUAAUUCAUAUGGUGCACGCCCACACGUUGUCACUUGGUAUGUACUACACCUCAACACCAAACACAUACCACAUAUCUUCAUGGAUUCAUACCCUCAGCACCAAGUUUAGAAGUGUUACAUACCUCGAACAAGCCAAAUCCAAUACCGAGAAAGCCAAGCGAUGCUCUAAAAGUUUCAUCCUGUGCGUACUGACUUCCAAACGGCUUGAAACUAGCCAAAAAUAACUCAAAUACAUCAAAUAAUGCCAAAGAAAGUAAACCCUAUCGAUUAAGGUCGAAUCUUUACUCAAAAGCCCAAAAUCAACCAAAAAGUCAAACCCAAGCCCGCACCUCAAAACCCGACAAAACUCACAAAAUCCGAUAACCCAUUCAUUUACGAGUCCAACCAUACUAGUUUCAUCCAAAUCCGACUUCGAAUCGAUGUUAAAAACUCAAAAGCUCUCUCUAUGAAACUUUAGGCUAAAACCCCAAAUUUCUCUUUAAAAUUUAUAGUCCAAUUACCAACAAUGAAGAUAGAAUCACGAAAUAUAAUUAAAACCGAGUAUAAAACACUUACCCCAAAUUCUUGUGAUGAAAUUUCUCUCCAAAGUCGCCCAAAACCGAGCUCCAAGUCUCAAAAUGGGAAUAAAAUGACCAACCCUCGAAAAUAUAGCUUCUGCCCAGCGAUGAUCGCAUUUGCGAACAAAAUUUCCGCUUCUGCGGACCUGCACAUGCGGCCCAAUCUUUGCUUCUGCGAACAAAACCUGCGGAACACCACUUCGCACCUGCACGCCCGCAGGUGCGGCUCUGCCAUCUCACCUGCACCAUACCUCGCCCCUGCGACCCAAGGCACUGCUCUGUGCUUCCGCAGGUGAGGCCCACUUCUCGCAUUUGCGGAGCUCUGCUUCCUGUUCCGCUUCCGUUCCCGCGCCUUCUUUGUCGCUUCUACGACCAUCGCACCUGCGCAAAUUCAACCGCAUGUGCACAACACCAAAACCAGCUCCUCUCCAGCAAUUCAACAUGAAACAAAAAUGAUCUGAACCUCGUCCGAAACUCAUCCGAGCCACUCGGGAUCCCGUCCAAAUUUACCAACAAGUCCCAUAACAUAACACGGACCUACUCAAGGCCUCAAAUCACAGAUAACAACAUCAAAAUGACGAAUUGCACCUAAAUUUGAACUCAAAUGAACUUUGAACUUUCAACUUCCAAAACUCACGUCGAAACAUAUCAAAUCAACCCGGAAUAAACUCAAAUUUUGCACACAAGUCCCAAAUGACAUAUCAAAGCUAUUCCAAUUCCGGUCAAACUUAUGAACUUUCUAAACCUUUAAAUUUCCAACUUUCGCCAAUUAGUGCUGAUUCCUUCUAGGUUCAUCCAAAUGCAAAUCCGGGCAUACGGCCGAUUGCAAAAUCACCAUUCGGGCCUAACAGAACCAUCAAAACUCCAAUUUGAGGUCAAACACUAAAAGUCAAACUUGGUCAACUCUUCCAACUUAAAGCUUAAAUCAUGGAAUUCAUUCUUCCACUUCGAUUCCGAUUAACCUGAAAACUAAAACCGACGAUUCAUACAAGUCAUAAUACAUCAUAUGGAGUUACUCAUGCCCUCAAACUACCAAGCGAAGUACAAAUACUCAAAACGACCGAUCGGGUCGUUACAAUUUUCAACAAUACCGACUGAAUUCGGUCGAUAGGUUUAUUUUAUGUCAGAAUAUUUGGUCAAAGUGCGUUGAAAAUUACCGACCGACUUCGGUCGGAAAUAUCGACCGUCUGCGGUCGAUAGCCGUUAGCGACCAUUAUAUUUUCGACGAAUUACAAACGAACGGAAAUCAGUCAGUUUUUGUUCUAUUCCGACUGAUUUCGAUCGAUUUUGCUGGACGCUUUUUUUCAAUUUUUUAGUAGUGAAGUCUGAUAACUCUCCACAUUUUGCAACCUAAAGAAAUACUUUUGGCAAAAAUUAAAUAUUUUGGACCAAAAUGAAGCUUGGCCAAAUAGGCUAUUAGCCGGAGUCUUUUCAGGGAGUUUUGUUGUCAUUCACCCAUUAAAAUAAAUGGGAAAUAAGUUAACGCCAUUACAGCGAGAUGCUUUAGGGUGUUAUUCUUGAAAAAUAAAGUAGUUUAAAAAUUAAAACACCCUAGAGGAUUUUUAAACUCUCUUUUUUCCUAAAACUUGAGCUUUCUUUUCUACUAAUGUCGUAAAACGAAAUAAAUGUAAGCUAUUGUAUUCUCCUUUUGUUUUCCAAAACAGAAAGCACUUAACAUCAAUAGGAAAUCCUAACAAGGCCACAAUAUUCUCCUUUCCUCCUUCCCAUGUCCUUUGUUUAUGAGGUGGUAAAAUCUAGAAGAAGGUAAAUUUUCUAGUAACCAUAACAGUAAAAGUUAUUUACAACAAAGAGCAAAUCUUGACAUUUGAAUCACAAGUCAAGUCGUGAUUGGGACAAGAAAAUAGAAAGUUAAAUACACUCCAGAUCAAGUCGUGAUUGGAAUGAGAUAAUAGAAAAGUAUGAUAGUACAUGAGUAACGUGUUGGAACUUAAGGGAAGGAAAGAAAAAUAACUGACGAAAUAUCCAAGUAUUCUUUAGUCUUUACAUUCAAAUUUGAAAGUUAUUUAACGUCAUCGAGAUGACGGCCAUGUUCAAGUUUUCCACAAAUAUUGAGAAAAGAAAGAAGAAGACACACACACACUGUGUUUGGUUUUAUUAUAGUUUUUUUUCUUUUAGAGAAUUGAUUGUACAAAGUAUAUAAGAAAUAUAAUAUAAGAUUUAGAAAUAAGAUUAUUAGAAAAAACAAACACCAAAAAGUAUUUAUUUUAAAUUCUUUUUCCAAUGGACAUUCCCAUUCUGAAACAAAAGAGAUAUAAAUAUCGAAGCAAAGAUUAAUCAGAUCGUCAAAUGUAGAAAAAAUAUUAGAAGAAUUAUCACGGACCAAAAUUCAACUAGCCGUGAUGGCACCUAACCUCACAUGCUAGGUAAGUCAAAUAAUAACAAUCCGAUUCAAUUAAUAUUUAACUGAUUUUAAUACACUCUCCAAGGUCUGGUAGUACAAAUCAUGAGCUUCUAAGAUUAGAAUUUACAAAACUGGUGUGAAAUAAAAAUACGCCGUCUCUCUGAAGUAUACAUGAACAUAUUAAAAAUUCUAAAGCUACCAGGAACAAGAGGCAGCAAUGAUUGGAACACAGGUACAUCUUCAGAUCCAACCCUCGCCGUACGCAACUACAUCAGCAUCAGAAAUCUGCACGCAAGGUGCAGAAGUGUAGUAUGAGUACAACCGACCCCAUGUACUCAAUAAGUAACAAGACUAACCUUUGGGCAGAAAGUAGUGACGAGCUCAACAGGUACAGUCCAGUAUAAAAAUAACAGUACAGAAAUGUAGGCAUGCUUUCAAGUUCAACAGUUAAACUAAGUACAAGUAAAAUAGAUAAAUUCAGCAUGAUAUGGAGAAUAUGACAUCUCUAUAUCUACAUGCCAAAAUAUAUGUUGUACAUGAUGUACCAUAAUGGAAACCUCGUGUACUCACACUCUCAGAAUACUCAAUCACUCAGUAUUGUAUAUGGCCAAUUCAACCCAGGGGAAGAUUCAUCCCCAAAUAUAAAUGAUUCGGACAAGAUNNNNNNNNNNNNNNNNNNNNNNNNNNNNNNNNNNNNNNNNNNNNNNNNNNNNNNNNNNNNNNNNNNNNNNNNNNNNNNNNNNNNNNNNNNNNNNNNNNAAACACAAUUUAUAGGAAUUAAUUCCAUAUAAAAAUAUUAAUUUUCCAACAAAAUUCAAAAUUACACUCAAAAAUCGCCAGUGGGGCCCACGUCUCGGAACCCAACAAAAGUUACAAAAUAUGAACGACCAUUCAACCGCGAGUCCAACCAUACCAAAUUUACCAAAUUCCGACAUCAACUCGACCCUCAAAUCUUCAAUUUAACCUUAAGGGUUUUUAUAAUUUUUCCAACUUAAAACAUCAAUUAAAUGCUAAAAAUAGCAAUAGAUUCGGGUAAUUUGACCAAAAUUGAGUUAAGAAUACUUAUCCCAUUGUUUUUCUUGAAAAUAUCCCGAAUAUUGCCUCUCCCCGACCUCCAAAAUUGUUAAAAAUAGAAAAUGGGACAAAGUCCCAUUUUCAGAACAUAAAUCUGCUGCCCAGGGGUUUGUUCUUCGUGUUCGCGACCGUCCUCUCGCGUUCGCGAUGAACAAAUACCUCAACGGCCAUUUCCAAACUCUUCCCAAACAGCCUCUAGUAUAAUGGUCAUAAACUUUUGUACAAAACUCAAAAUGACAAAUGGUUUAACUUUCUGAAAACUAUUCAUCAAGGGCCACAACCUUCAUGUUUUGAUCAUCUCCCAUUUCUUUAUAGAUUGCGAGAUAUAAGCUUCCAAAGUUGGACGACGGACAACAGGAAUUCCUUCUUCGCGAAUGCGAAGAACAAAAUCCUAGAAGCCAAAUCUUUCUUCGCAAACGUGAGAGGAUCCUCGCAAACGCGAAGAACAAACCCAGACAUCAGAAAACCAGCAUCCAAAGUAGCCCAAAAUGAUCCGACAACACCCGAAACACACCCGCGGCCCCCGCGACCCCAAUAAUAUAUACUAACAAGUCCUAGAACAUUAUACGAACUUAGUCGAGACCCCAAAUCACAUCAAACAAAGCUAAAACUACGAAUCACACCCCAAUUCAAGCCUAAUAAAAACUAACAAAUUCCAACUUCUACAUUCGAUGCUGAAACCUAUCGAAUCAAGACCGAUUGACCUCAAAUUUUGCACACAAGUCAUAAAUGACAUAACAGACCUAUAAAAAUUUUCAGAAUUGGAUUCCGACCCCGAUAUCAAAAAGUCAACUCUCCGGUCAAACUUUCAAACUUAAUUUUUCUACUUUCGCCAUUUCAAGCCUAAUUUAACUACGGACUUCCAAAUGAUUUUUCGGACACACUCCUAAGUCCAAAAUCACCAUACAUAGCUAUUGGAAUCAUCAAAACUCUAUUCCGGAGUCGUUUGCAUAAAAGUCAAAACUUCGGUCAACCCUUUUCAUUUAAGUUUCCAACAUGAAAUUUAUUUUUCCGAACUAAUCCCAAAACACCUAAAAUAUCAAAACCGACGAUUCACACACGUCAUAAUAUAUCAUAUAAUGCUAUUCAAGACUUCAAAUAGUUGAAAGGAGUGUAAAUGUUCAAAACAACAAGUCGGCUCAUUAAAUUCUCCCCCACUUAAACAUACGUUCGUCCUCGAACGUGCCAAGAGUUGUUCUUAAGCCCUUAAAUCACUGUUCCACCUUACCACGCACAUACCCGGGGGUGAUCCCUCGUCACCCUAUUCCAUAUAGGUCUGACCACACAACAUAAAUAAAGAUCAUUAAUUUAACAUUGGCCCGUAAACCUUGGAAUUCAAUUUCCAACAUUCAGAAUUUCUUUUCAAGACCCGAAUAUCACAUCUACACACUGUAUAAAUCUAAACAAAUUGUAUCAAGCCAUAACCAUAACCCAAGAUGUAAUCACAUGAUAUACCACACAACUCGCAUACUCGCAGCACCAUUCCCGAUCACAGUAACUAUUCAAAACCAACCCGGUACUAGUAUUAAACCCCAUAUCAAACAAAACCUCAUUCCCAAAACCUUCAUACAUUGCCGAUAAUAAAAGAAACACACGAAAUCUCAUAACCACUUAUCAGAUCAACACAUCAUGGAGCUCUCUCGUCCCAACCAGAACCAUAAUCACUUUCUAAGCCGACUUUCGAUAUUAUUCUCCCAAAUAUACUGCAAUCAAACCUGAUAGUACCCAUUAUAGGUCCAAUGACCUAUUAUCAAACAAAACUAUUCCACGGACAUGCCACGCCAAUAUAACUCAAGCCACAAACUGCACAAUCCGUGCACCCAAAAAUAGGAAAUGUCUCGAAAAAGAGAACCAUUUCGCAAGUUCAACAAGAACCACUACAAUCGUAAUGCUAUGAUCACAUCAUACAUAGUAGAACCAAGACACACGAAUCUAAUAACGGUAACUAGCUCUUCUAGAGCUCACAUUAACAUCAACCGCACAGAUAACUCACGUGCUAUAGUAUCAAUAUCUGGACCCCGCACGGAUAGCUCAUGUGCUAAUAACAUAAAUGUCUGGACCCGCACGGAUAACUCACGUGCUAAUAAUAUCAAUCGCCUGACAUGGUCACAGGCCUCCAGUCUAAGCAUAUCAUAUAUGAGCAAUCAAAUAAGUACACAUGUAUAUGAUAAAUGAAAUAAAAUUCACAUGCUCCUGGACUGGUAUAAAUAACACGCCAUAGAGUAGGCAUGUGCAAAGUGUGCUAUCACAACUCAAAUCGACAAGUUAACGCAGAAAUAGUAGCUACCAAGUUUAUUCAGGGAAUUAGCCUCUUUGUAACCUUAAGUAUAGCCCAAAUAGUUCUCAACAAAGGUACGAAUACGAGAAAUAUUAUAGCUUUACCCUUAAUAAUCUGCUCUGGCAUAUCAUAGCCUAAGCAUUCUUCCGAGUAUAAAUACCUGCCCUGAUGCCCGCAUAUAGGCUCAAACCUCACAUAUAUGCGCACUCAUAGCGCGUAGCUAUCACAAAUAAUUAACGCAACUAGUGCCUCCACUGAGUUUAAAUAAAAUACUCACCUCAAACAGGUCGCAACCCUUAAAAUAGUAUGCUUCUGAGAACACAUAGUCUCCAAAUUCAUAGGACACAUGAAUCAUCGUAACUGGUCCUAAUUCCAUCACUCGAAUGACUAACACAUCUUUCAUGAACGAUCUUCCCACUAGGAAUACUUCCAAAAUUCUUUGGUGCCACAUAGCAAUAAUUUGAAUAUCAACAGUCUAUCAACCAGGUGAGUAUCACAAUACCAAUGAACAUCCAUAAGUCAAAACACAAUGCGCCUUCUGAAAUGCGCACCCUUCUCAGAUAUUGCCGAGCAGUUAUAACAUUCAUCUAAAUAUCUAAAACCGACCAUUCUGUCCAAAAUUUGUGACCUUCCCUUCAAGACUGAACUGCCAUCUUGUACAUGUAAAUCUUAAGCCUGCACAACACACCAUAUCUAUUAUGCCAUCAUGUGAAAAGCAUGAGAAUCCCAUUAUCAAAUCUGAGUCACCAACAAAUUACAUACUCGGUUAGUUAGAAACCUUCCAUUUGCUCCCAUCCUAGAGGAAAUCACAAUACACAACAUAUUCCUCACGUUUGUAGGAUAUAUCCAUCUCACACCGUGAUAGAAACCAUCAAGAACUCUUCAAAACUCAUUUGCGCAUAACCAAGCUAUCAGAACUUAAUUCCUGUAACUCGACCAAGCCACACAGGUUGCCAAGUCCGAGAAUAUUUCCACAAAACACCCGUAAAGCCUCACCAUAUCAUAAGUACCUAAAAGAACCGAGCAUACCAUUACCAUACUGAUCCAGCAUGUUACACAUUUGUCCUAUUUUCUCCGAGUUUCUUCUGAUUUACCCUCAAGUUGACACUUCUCCUUGUCAUAACACCACGAUCCUUACACAAAGAACCACCAGAGAUCCUAGCAUAAACUACAUCGCCCUAAGGCCCAUAAGUUGUUGUAUUCCCUCUUAAGCACCACAAAAGUACCACAAUCGAGACACCCACUCUGAAAAGACCAUAUGUGAAUUUAAAUUAUUCUUUUUAUCUUUCCUAUAUUGAAAUGUAGAAUCCAUAGUCAUACAGAAUUACCGCAAGUCCCGACACCAUCUAGUGUAAAUAACAGAUUCUGGCGAUAUACAAAUUCCAAAAAAAAUUCAAUUGACACAUAUACAUUUUGAAUCCAUUAGAACCCUUUUGAAAGUCAUCGACUCUGCUCAAAUCUAAAUUGCACCACCUGAACGGGCCGAAAGACACAAGCCUCGUUAGUACUCCAAUAUUUCUGUUGACUUAGUGGCAAUCUCCUUCCAUUCCCUUGUCGCCUCCAUGUUCACUUUGUCCUGCUCCAGAUGUUUAUCUUCAGACUCGAACACUCUUUUGUGUAGCCUCUUAUACUUAACUUGUGCCUCGACCACUUUGUCUAUAAUUCUAUCCUUUAGAUUGACUCAUGGCUUGACGUCUCCUGCUACGUCAUCUUCCAGCGAUGAUAGAUAGUAGUACAAAUGACCAGCGUGAUACCUGUCUGGCUUGAUAGUUUCUCUUUCCACAAUGAUCUUUUGGUUCCACAUAUGUUGCGCCUCGAGCUUGAAUGGAAUGACGUCUCCCUUGAAAUCUACUUUGUACUCGACCAUGUUGGAAACCCGAGGUAUGACUUGUUUCCUUCCAGGUUGUCUCAUUACCCUUAUAGGAGCGUAAGGAUAGAUGCCUCACAACCCGAUCAGUACCAAAUGAAUAGUCCCCCUUGACCUGAUGAUGAACUCGCUACUAGGAAACCAUUCAAACAUCCAAUGUACUUGCCCGUCUAUCAGAUUGCUGAAGAAACACACACAACUUACAGCAUUUCCAGGCUGUGCAAACCUGUCUGGAAUAAACAUCAUUUUCUUUAGGUGAUGGUUGGCUAUGUAGUCAUUUAGUGGCCUUCACAGAAGCUAUUGACGAUACUCGCCCCUCUGAAAGUGCUCCAGCAGCCAGACUUGUAGAAAUAAAUUACAACCCUCAAAGUGUCUGAAUCCCUGCUUGCACCGAUCUAGAGCGCGGUACAUCUCAGCUAAGAUCAUAGGGAUGAUAGUGCAAGUUUGGCCCUCGAUGCCAUCCAUUAAGGUCCUGGCGACCAUGGCUAAACAAGUAUGAAUCCUUCCUCCUUUCAUUGGAAAUAUCAACAAACCCAAGAAGCAGACCAUGAACACAUAAACCCGGCGGUGCACCCAUCCCAAGGAAGUAAUAGCUAGUUCAUCAUGGUGAAGACGAUAUGACUUGCUAUGCCCAUAACGUCGGUAAAGAAACUCAAAAGGGAUGUAUGAUUUCUUUAGACAGAGCAGUUCAUCAUUCUUCUUAAAACCCAAUAUUUUUAGGAAAUCGCGGGGAGUAUGAUUCUCUUGUACCAGUAAUUUCGGACUAUCCCAUGGAAGCUUGGCGAAACCUCCUAUUUCAUCUAGGAGAGGAGUCAUUUAUAUAUUGACAAACUGGAAAAUAACUCUUUUCUCAUCCCAAAACAUGGUAGCGGCCUCGAUCAACUCCCUAUUUGGUCAAACGUUCAUCAAAUAUGGCAGGUCACCAAGCACUAUCCUCACAUGAUUUUUAUCACAAGGUGCAAGGUCUUUCCACCAGUCAAGUAGAAAAGGUGGGAUGUUUUGGAUCAUAUCGAACCUGGGGAUUUCGUGCUUCAUUUUCUGCAAACAAACAAAUGUUAGCCCUUUCCCCCUCCAGAUUUGACUACUUACGCAAUAAUGAUCAACUUGUUGGCACAUUUUCUCCAAGUAAUUCACAUAAUAUGAUAGUGUCCAUCGGGAUUAUGGAAAUCUCAUCGGACUUUGGACAAGGUUCAUCUUAGCGGGUUGUUACAUUAACAACACUUCAACCCGUACUAGGUUUAGCAUGAUGCAUGUACAUUUCAAAUUAGAGUAGAAUUUCUAGAAGGGUCGACUGGUACUCCCAAGUGGACAACUUGAGAGGGAAAGGCAUGGGAUCAUCGACUGCAUCACUGAUCGACUAGUCUACAGCAAGUAAGCCUUUCCAAUUUAAAAAGGGUGAUUUCAGGAAAGCAUGGACACUCAUCAAGCGCCGCUAUGUUGACAAUUGGCAUGGGUAGAGUAUGAUGUAGAGCAUGCUUUAUGCAGAAAUAAUAACAUGUUGCCAAGUAUUUGCACAAUAAAAGUACGUAAAAGAAGUAAAUAAAAUAGUGAAGUGAACAUGAAAAGAAGAAAAGAAAGACAAAAGAAAGAAGUCAGUUUAGCUCAUGAAAAUAUGCGAGAACGUAAUGAAGCAUGUAAGGAUAUAGGAAUGGGAGAGUCAUAAUAUAGCAGUCUUAGACAAGAUAAAAAGAGAUGGAGAGAGGUCAUAGCAAACAAAGGAGAGUAAGGGAAGGGAUGUGCAUGCUAUAGCAAAUUUAAACAAAUAAAAAUGAAUAAGGGAGGGGAUGUGCAUGUCAUAGAAAUUUUAAAACAAACAAAGGUGAAUAAAGAAAGGGAUGUGCAUGUAAUAGUAGUUUUAAAACAAAUAAAUAAAACAAAGCAUUCCAUAUAAGUCAAGUUCAUUAUGGUAAAAGCCUAAGUAUCCCCAGCAGAGUCGUCAUGCUGUCGCGCCCCAUUUUCUCGCGAAAGUGGGAUUCGACGUGUGAAAACUCUUUUAAAAGAGGUAUUAAAAGAGAAGAGUCGCCACCUAAUGAUUUUGAGGUGCGUUAGGGCACCUAUUUACAAAUAACUCUGUUUGACUAGUCAACGCCACCAAAGAUCGGGUAAGGGCUUAAAUUACCUCAAAGAGAAGGUGUUAGGCUCUCUUUGAGGUACACAACUGUGGGUCCCGGCCGAACUUUAGACUACGUGGAUUAUAUAGUUAAGCUAGGUGAUCAAAUAAAUAGAAAGGAAGUUCAGAAGUCGUAGAGUCUUGUUAAAACAUAUGAGAGUCGACAUAAGUCUCAAUAACUACGUAGGUACAAACCACGUUGAUCUAUGUUAAGUAUGGAUAACAUGCACGUAAAUAAAGGGGGUCCUAAGUUGUUUAGCCUAAUGGAUCACCCCGUGCAACAUAAAUAGUACUUUGCAACUCCCUUUAGGUAGGGGUUGCUCAUAUUAUUCAGCGGGCACAGGCUAUCAUCUCCUGCUACCCGAUUACUAUGUUGAAGUUUCAUACGAGGUUCAGAUCAUUCUUGUUUCAUGUUGAAUUGCUGAAGAGGAGCUGAUUCUGGUGUUGCACACCUACGGUUGAAUUUGUGUAGGUGUGAUGGUUGUAGAAGCGACAAAGGAGUCGCAGGAGCAGAAGCAGAACCGGAAGCAAAGCUCCACAGAUGCGAGAAGUGGCCGCACCUGCGAAAGCAGUGCCUUGGGUCGCAGGGGUAAGGUAUGGCGCAGGUGCGAUGGAAGAGCAACACCUGCGGGCGCACAUGUGCGAAGUGGUGUACCGCAAAAGCAAUGGCUUCUGAGUUUGGUUUGUUCGUAGAAGCAAAGAUUGGGCCGCAUGUGCUGGUCUGGAGAUGCGGAAAUUUUGUUCGCAAAUUCGAUAAUCGCUGGGCAGAAGUUAUAUUUUCGAGGGUUGGUCAUUUUAUUCCCAUUUUGAGACUUGGAGCUCGAUUUUGGGAAACAUUGGAGAGGAAUAUCAUCACAAGGAUUUGGGGUAAAUGUUUUAUACUCUGUUUGGAUUAUAUUUCGUGAUUCUAUCUUCGUUGUUGGUAAUUGGACUAUGAAUUUUAAAGAGAAAUUGGGGGUCUUAGCCUAAAGUUUUAUAGAGUGAGUUUUUGAGUUUUGAAUAUCGAUACGGAGUCGGAUUUGGAUAAAACUAGUAUUGUUUGACUCGUAAUUGAAUGGUUUGUCGGAUAUUGUGAGUUUUGUCGGGUUUCGAGGUGCGGGCCUAGGUUUGACUUUUUGGUUGAUUUUGGGCUUUUGAGUAAAGAUUUGACCUUUAUCGAUUGGGUUUAUUUCCUUUGGAAUUAUUUGAUGUAUUUGAGUUGCUUUUGGCUAGUUUCGAGUCGUUCGGAGGUCAGUACACACAGGAUAGCACUUUUGGAGCAUCUCUUGGCUUGCUCGGUAUUGGAUUUGGCUUGUUCGAGGUAAGUAACACUUCUAAACCUGGUGCUGAGAGUAUGAACCCCUGAAUAUACGUGGUAUGUGUUUGGUGUUGAGGUGACGCACAUGCUAGAUGACGGGCGUGCACCGUAUGAAUUAUGACUCGGUUAUUUCUGUGGUACUGUGUAGUUACCUAAUCUUAUUUGUAUCCAUGAAAUCUCAACGUGCUAGAGUAAUUGAGCUGUGAUCCAUGUUAGAACCAUGUCUAGGCUAUAUGCUUAUCCUGUUGGGACCCACUGUGGUCAUUUCUGCUUUUGAGUUAUUUGCUUACAUUGCAAUUACAUACUUAGUCAUACGCUUUCAUUGCAUAUCACAUCUCAGUCUCUGUUACCAUUUAUUGAUACAUCACAUCAUCAUUUUGGGCUAAUUUUCAUGAUAUUGUGAGCCCGAGAGACUGGAGAGAUUGACGACUGAGUGAGGCCGAGGGCCUAAUGGUGAGGAUAUUGAUGGGAUCGGGUGGCAUACCCGCAACAGGUAUUAUUGAUUUAUGAUGGGAUAGGGAUGCACGCCGCAACAUGAUUAAUUGAUUUAUGCCAUGAUGGGACUUUUAUAGCAUUUGGGCUGAAGGAUCCCCUUCGGAGUCUGUACACCUCCAGUGAGCGCAGGUACGAGUGUCGAGUGCGAGUGUGAGUGUCGAGUGUGAGUGCCGAGUGCGAGUGCCGAGAGCGAGUGUCGAGUGAAUGGGAGGAUUAAGUGAAUGUGAGGACUGAGUGACUGGGAGGACUGAGUGAUUUGGUACUCUGAGAGUAUGCGUAUGGUUUUAUCGCUGAGUUGCAUUGCUUUCGACAUGCACACUUGACAGACAGGAAUAUAGAUGCAUUUUCCUCAUGCUGUACGGUAUCACGUCAUUCAUGACUUUUCAUACACAUUGACAUGUAGGCAUAGAGAUGUACUUUCCUCAUGCCAUUUAAAAAUGAAAUAUUUACCUAUUGAAAGUUUUAGGAAAAAUCACAGUUUUACAAACGUGCACAUAUUUUGGUGAUUUCGGUAAAAGAUUUAGGUUUUCACUGAUAUACUUGAAAAAUAUGCCUAUUUUUCGAAACUUUGAACGAGCUGAGCACUAUAUCUCUGAGUUACUUCUUUUAUCACUUUUAUUAUGUUGUUAUGAACUGUUGUUGGCUACUGGUGUUGGAUUCCGACCUUUGUUCCAGCUCAUCACUACUUUCAACCUAAGGUUAGAUUUGUUACUUAUUGAGUACAUGGGGUCGGUUAUACUCAUACUACACUUUUGUACCUUACAUGUAGAUGUUGGAUGCUGUUGUAGCUGCGUACAGCGGGAGCUGGAUAUAAAGAUGCACCUGCGUUCCAGUCAUAGCUGCCUCUCGACCUUGGUUGCUUUAGAAUUUUAAUCUGUUCAUGUAUAUUUCAGACAGAUGAUGUACUUUAUUUCAUACCAACUUUGUAAAUUCUAAAUCUUAAAAGCUCAUGAUUUGUACUACAUGUCCUUGGGAAAUUCUUGUAUAAAUGUAGUUGUAUUAUCAUUCUUUUCUUAAUAAAUCUCAUAAAAUUGGAUAGUUGUUAAUUGUCUUACCUGAAGGGUUGGGUCAGGUGCCAUCACGACUAGUUGGAUUUUGGGUCGUAUUAUUCCUUAUUUGUUUUUUCAAACAAAGUGUUCAAUUCCGACCGAAAUCGGUCGGUAUUAUUAAAAUAUUUAAAAUUUAAUAUCAAAAAUUCUGACCGAAUUCGGUCGGUAAAUUUAAAGUUCUGGGAAAUCAAUUGAACAUUUUCAACCGACUUCGAUCGGUAGACGGUCAGUUUUCUGGGUAAGGUUUUGGAAAAAUACAACUAUUUUAUAGUGUAAUGACCCGACCAGUUGUUUCGAGAGUUAUAGCCCCAUUCCCCCAUUUAUUGCUCAUUAUUUGCUUUAUAGCUGUUAUGUGACUUGCCGGGAUGGGCGGUUCGUGUCUUGGAGAGAUUUUGAAAUGAAUUGAGACACUUAGUUUCAAAGUUGGAAGCUUAAGUGGAAAAGGUUGAUCGAAUGUUGACUUAUGUGUAAGCGAAUCCGGAAUGGAGUUUUGAUAGUUCCGUUAGCUCCGUUGGGUGAUUUUGGACUUAGGAACAUGUCCAGAUUGUGAUUUGGAGGUCCAUAGUUGAAUUAGGCUUGAAAUGGCGAAAGUUGGAAUUUGAAAGUUUGCCUGAGAGUGGACUUUCUGAUUACCGGGCUUGGAAUGGAGUUCUAGGAGUUGGAAUAGAUCCGUGGUGUCAAUUGUGACUUGUGUUCAAACUUUGGAGUCAAUCGGACGUGAUUUGAUAGGUUUCGGCGUCAUUUGUAGAAAUUUGAAUUUGCUUAGUUUCAAUAGGCUUGAAUUGGGGUGCGAUUCAUGUUUUAGAUAUUGUUUGAGGUUAUUUGAGGGCUCGACUAAGUUCGUAUCGUGUAUUAGACUUGAUGGUAUGUUUGGUUGAGGUCCCGGGGGCCUCGGGUGAGUUUUGGAUUAUUGACGGAUCAAUUUUGGACUUGGAAGACUACUGAAGAAUUUAUGUUGUCCAGUUCUGGUUUCCUCCUUCGCUUUUGCGAUGGGAGUCCCGCAUUCGCGAAGGGUAGCUGAUGGCAGGUGAGGAUUUGUUCUUCGCGUUCGCGAAGAGGGAGACGCAUUCGCAAAGAGGGAGACACAUUCGCGAAGGUCGGCAUAGUUGGUGCAUCGCUAACGCGAGAAGGGGAACGUGUUCGCGAAGAGGAAAGGAGGCAGCUGGGACCCCACACAUUAGGUCUACGUGUUCGCGUAAGGUAGGUCACGUUCGCGAAGCAUGGGGUCAGCAAGGCCUCGCGUUCGCGAGUGGUGCCUCGCAUUCGCGUAGGAGGCUUUUGGGCAGCAGAUUGAUUUGUGCCAUGCAAGCGCGAGAAGGGGGUCGUGUUCGCGAAGAAGGGUUACCUGGGCAGAUUAAAAAUUUCAAAAAUGAGGGUUUGAGUUCAUAACACAAAAUUGAUUUUGGGAGCUCGGUGGGAGGCCAUUGUUUUUGGAGAGAUUUUGAAGUGGGUGAUUGGUUAAUUUCCAUGAUUAUGUCUUUGAUUUCAUUUUUUAAUUAGUGAUUGGGGGGUAGAAAAAUUGGGCCAAAAUGGAGGAAUGUUCUUAAGCCGAAUUUUGAGGUUUUGAUAGAGAUUUUGGUAUCGAAUUUAAGUAAUUUUGGUAUGGUUGGACUCGUGGUUGAAGGAUGUUUUGAUUUUGUGACUUUCACCCCGUUCCGAGACGUGUGCCUGGGAUCCAGCUUUUGAGUUGAUUUUUUGACUUUCGAUUAAGAGCUUAGUAUUUUCUUAUGAAAUUUAUUCCUUUAGCUCGUGUUGAUUGUAUUGAAUUGUUUGUGACUAGAUUCGAGGUAUUCAGAGGCCGUUUCGUAAGGCAAGGGCAUGUUGGAGUAGAGAUUUGUGCGGUUUGAGGUAAGUAAUAGUUCUAAAUUUGGUUCUGAGGGUAUGAAAUCCCAUAAUAUAUGUCAUGUGAUUUGUUUUGAGGAGACGCACAUGCUAGGUUACGGGCAUGUGGGCGUGACCGUAGGAAUUAUGACUUGGUCAAUUCCAUAGAGCUGAAUAGUUGAAAAAUCUUUUGUUAUCCGUAUAUUCUCCAUGUGCUACAGAAAUUGAACUGCAAAUCAUGUUAGAAAUUAUGUUUAGACUAUGAGUUGGCACUGUAGGGACCCACAUAGGUCCUGUAUAUGUUGAAUUAUCUGCUAAAUUGUUGUUUGUACUCAGUCACAGUUUUACUUGAUUAUUACAUCUCAGUCUCUAUUGUUCAUUAUUGAUAAAUUAUAUCAUUGCUGUCUGGGCUGAUUAUCAUGAUUACUAAGAGCCCGAGGGGCUGGAGAGGUUGAUGACUGAGUGAGGCCGAGGGCCUGAUUUUGUGGGGAUAUUAUAGAAUCGGGCUGCACGCCGCAGCAUAUAUCAUUGAUUUAUGCCAUGAUUAGUUUGUUAUAGUGCUUGGGCUGAAGGAGUGUCACGCCCUGAACUCGGGGAUUGCGACCGGUGCUCAACCGAGUGAACCCGGUCAAGCAAGCCUGUUAGAUAGUUUCUACCCAUACUCACUUAUGAAUAAAGAUAAUACAUAUUUUCGUUAAUUAGACAAUAAAGAGAUCGUGUAUACAAUACCAAUUCAUUACCAUUAGUUACUUCAUUUAAAAAUCUCAAAUAACACACAUUUUCAUGGUCUGAAGUGGAAGAAUUAAUUCAAACACAAUAUAACUUGUGUUACUUCCCCGACACUAAUAUACAACCCACACUAUAUCUAUGGAGCCUCUAAUAGAUACGAAAGAGUACUAUGAUAGUGCCGGCAACAAGGUCCGGGUCUACCUCAAACAUAAUACACGAGGAACAAAAGAUACAUGACCCCGAAAUGAAGUGGGGCUCACCAAGUCAGCUGGGAAGAGGGUGUACCGCUAUCACUAAUCAAUGUCUCCUGAUGUGGAAUCACCUGCAUCCAUUGAAGAUGCAACACUCCCAGCAAAAGGGACAUUAGUACAUAUGUAAUAGUACUAGUAUGAAUGACAAAACACCCUCUCAAUAGAAUGAUUAAUAAUACAAGCAAGAACAAUCAUAAUAUUAGUGGAAGCCUCAAACAACAUCAAACCUCAAGUUAGGACCAAUACAAUGUUCAAAUAAAUUUCCAUAUUUUAAGUUGGGAGAUGUUUAGUACCAAUAUGCCACCGUUCACAAUGCCACCGUACUUUAAGUACGGAGUCCGAUCACGACCCGAUCAGCUAGGCUGUCUCAUCUGAGACAUCAACCAUAAUCAUAAUUUCAAUUAUAAUUUCCAGCAUAAUCAUCACCAUGUGUGUGGCAUGACAUCCGAUCACGACCCAAUCGGCUAGGACAUCUCACCACAAUGAUGUGUGUAUCGACAUCAUCCUUUUUUUUACCAAUCAUCUCGUUUCAUACUUCUUUCACAUCUUUUCAUUUCAUUGGCACUAGUGGCCACAAUUAUAAAAUCAUUCUUGGCACGUCGACCGUAUUUAGUAAUUCAUGCUCACCUUUUUCACUUUCAAACAUCAUCAACAACAAGGCGUUUCAAAUCAAGGUUUUAGUACAAAUGUGAGCAAUUAAGAGUCUUAGGCACAUAGAGGUUUUUCACAAAAUUUUGCAUAAUAGCCUUCGUUUGAACUUAACUUGAAGUCGAAACAUUUUUAAUGCACAACCCAUACUUUGAACACAUUCUCAAAUGAUAACAUAACAUGAUAAAAGCAUUUGGGAUACACAUUGAACAUAUAUCUUUCAACACAAGCUUAUUUGGAAUAACCAAUUUUAUAAUGAGCAACUCGGGACUUACAUAAAUUACAUGAAUGCCGUGGGAUUCAAUUCUAAGAGAGGAGUUUAGCCAACAUACCUCGAUUUGAGAUUUCCUUAAAUUACUAUAACGUUCCGAAAAUCCUAGUAAUCCCAAUCUAUUUUGAGACAUAACAAAAUUGAACAUAAAUUAGGAAGAUAUUCAUGGUUUCACCUCAUUUGAACAUUUUAUCAAACACUAGGUGUGCAAAUUUGGCUACAAGGUUCUUCUACAUGAUUUCCUUCAUUCCACAACCCAGUCUUUACUUCUUUGAGCUCAACAAUCUUUCCACAAACCUUAUUGGUACAUGCAUGUAUACAUAAUACUCUCACACCCAAGAAUCAUACUCCCAAUCACCCAUCUUUUACCCCAAACUCGAAAUUGAAGAAUUGGGGAAAGGAAUUCUUACAUCUUUGAAGCCCUAGCAAGAUCCUUGUGAAAUCUUCAAGCCUUGAGUAAGAAUUGAUGAACAAAAUGGCUAGGUCUUCUCUUUCUCUCUCUAAGAUACUCUCACCUCUCUCAAAAAAUGUAAGAUGAAACCCUUAAAAAUGACCCCCAAAGCCUUUUAAUAAAAAUGGGACUGGGUUAUAAAAAUCAGAAAAAUGGAUCCCCGUCACAGAUCUGCGGUCGUAUAUGUGACAACAUAAUGCUUUUGCGGUCCGCAAAAUGGACCGCACAAUGGCCUACGGAACUGGGCAAUUAUGCCCCACUCCACGACCGGUCUGUGGUCCGCAGACCUGUUCUGCGGUUGUAUAAUGGACCGCAAAAACUUCUUUAAAAAUUUCUUAUGCUGGUUCUACGAUGGUCCUAAAAUUUAGCUCAAGUUUCUGCUUCACUUUGCGGCAGUUAUGCGGCCCACAGAGUGAUUCUGCGGUCGCAGAAUGAACCAUAGAAAUGCCCUACACUCCCAAAGAUUUUCUUCAACUCCCCAACGCACUAAUCAACCCAAAACGUUCGAGCAUCAUCAAACACGUAAGCCUACCUCGGCACCACGAAACCUUAAAUUCCUUUACAAACUUUUACGGGGCCUUACAAGGAGCCCCUCCGGAGUCUGUGCACACCCCCAGUGAGCGCAGGUACCUACUGAGUACGAGUGUUGAGUGUCGAGUGAUUGAGAAAAUGCGAGACUGUGAGGAAUGAGUGACUGUGAGGUUGUAGUGCAUAGGAGGACUGAGUGACUGUUGCUCUGAGAUUUUGCACUUAAUUUCAUUGCUGUUGUACUUCAGUUGGCAUAUAUCCUUGUUGUAAUCUCUGAGAGAUGUUAUAUUCUAUUUCCAAUUGAACUUGACAUGAAUUAACCAUUUUGGCCUUGAUUGUCGAAUUUGAAAGCAUGCCUAUCUUUUUAUGUAGUAAUUUCUGUAAGUGAACUAUAUCCGUGGAGCUCGUCACUACUUUCAGUCCAUUAUUUAGUCUUGUUACUUACUGAGUUGGUUGUACUCACGCUACACCCUGCACUUCGUAUGUAGAUCCAGUUAUUUCCGGACACUGUGGGUGUUGAUCUCUUUGCGUAUCUUGAUCGUUUGAAGUUUCCAAGGUAGCUUCCCGGCAUUCGCAGACCUUGUCUCUCCUUCCCUAUCUUUCAGGUUUAUGUAUUUAGUUUUAGUGUGCCAUUGACAGUAUUUCUAGACUUGUGUUGUAUAGACGCUCAUGUACUCGGUGACACCCCGAAGUUAAGAAUUUUCGUAUUGGCUUUUGACUUUCUAUCUAGUUUUGAGGGUUUUGAUGAUUUACACAUGCGUUAUCCUUAUUUUUCAUUUAAAAGUGUUGGAAGUAUUUUGAAGUGUCGGCUUGCCUAGUACCACGUUAGGCUCCAUCACGAUAGGCUAUGUUUUGGGUCGUGAUAAGUUGGUAUCAGAGCCUAGGUUACAUAGGUCUCACGAGUCAUGAGCAGGUUUAGUAGAGUCUUGUAGAUUGGUACGGAGACGUCUGUACCUAUAUUCGAGAGGAUACCAAACCCUUAGGAAACUUCACAUUCUUAUAUUCUUGUCGUGCUGACUUCUUGAUUCCGGUAACUAAAGUUCUGCAUUCUAUUGUCUCACAGAUGGAGAGGACACGUGCUACCAGACAAGACGGACAAUUGCUAGUACCACCAGCUAGAGCCACGAGAGGCCAAAGUCACGGUAGGGGCUGUGGUAGGGGCAGGUGUAAAGCUCGCACAACAGUAAGAGUAGCACCUGUAGAUCCACCAAUUGCCCCAACUCGGGAGUAGGUUCCAGAUGUGGUUAAGCCAGUAGGGCCAGCUUAGGCACCAGUUGUGCCCAUUGUGAUUCCAAGCCUUCGGUAGGCUUUGGCCCAGAUAUUGACUGUUUGCACUGGCCUUACUCAGGUAGUUUCGGCUCAGGCUACACCAGUCACUUGUCAGGCCGAGGGAGGUACUCAUACCCCCUCCGCCCGUACUCCAGACCAUGUGAUGCAGGGACUUCACAUACCGGGGGUACUACCAGCCCAGCCGAUUGUAGAUGCUCAGGCCCAGGUAGGCCCCAUUAUGACUGAUGAUGAGCAGAGGAUACUAGAGAGAUUUGGGAGGCUGCAGCCUCCAGCAUUCGGUGGGGCCGAUUUUGAGGAUGCCUAGGACUUUUUGGACAGGUGCCAGCGGAUUCUUCGCACGGUAGGUAUCUUGAGACCGGUGGGGUCUCAUUCACUACUUUUUAGUUUACUGGGACUGCCUUCAGAUGGUGGGAGGCUUAUGAGAGGCGCACGCCAGUCGGUGCAGCACCACUUACAUGCGUGAGUUCUCCGUUCUCUUCUUGGAGAAAUUUGUUCCACAGUCUUGCAGGGAGGAGCUGCAUAGACAGUUUGAACAGCUACAUCAGGAUGGCAUGUCUGUGACUCAGUACGAGAUGAGAUUUUUUGAGUUAGCCCAUCAUGCUGUUUGGUUGGUCCCUACGGAUAGGGAGAGGAUUAUAAGGUUCAUUGAUGGCCUCACAUAUCAGUUGCAGUUGCUUAUGACUCGGGAAAAGGGUAUAUGGUGCUACUUUCGAUGAGGUGGUCGAUAUUGCUCGGCAGAUAGAGAUGGUCCGUAGUUACAAGCGUGAGGAGAGGGAGGCCAAGAGGCCUCGAGGUUCGGGUGGUUCCAGUAGUGUUCAUUCUAGGGGACAGUCCUACCACAAAAGGGGUAGUCCUUAAAGCCCGCUCAAAUGGCUCGUCCAACUCACCGUGGUGCAUCAUCAAGCCAUGGUUCAUACAGUGCUUGUCAGAGUCGAUCAUCUCUCAGUACCCUUCCAGUUCAGAGUUUGUCCCGUGAUCUAUUAGUUAGGGUUCAUCUAUGCCAGGACCUUCCAGUAGUUACUGUGGUAUUUGGGGCCUGAUUCAGUCCCUACUACCACCACUUCCGGGGAGUUGUUUUGAGUGCGGGGAGUUUGGGCAUGUAUGGAGACAAUGUCCUCAUCGCCCAGGAGGUCCAGUGUAGCAGAUGAGUCAAGUUACAACUUCAGCACCAGUUACUUCACCACCCGCUCAGCCAGCUUGGGGGUGGGGCCCAGGUAGCUAGAGGUCGACCUAGAGUGGGAGGGCGAUUAGGUGGCGGUCAGGCCCGAUUCUAUGCUAUUCCUGCCAGACCAGAUGUUGUUGCUUUAGAUGUAGUGAUUACAUCUAUUGUCUCAGUAUGCCACACGGAUGCCUCUUUAUUAUUUGAGCUUGGUUCCACUUAUUCAUAUGUAUCAUCGUAUUUUGCUCAUCAUCUAGAUAUGCCCCGUGAGUCCUUAGUUUCAUAUGUUCAUGUAUCUAUGCCAGUAGGCGAUACUAUUAUUGUGGACCGUGUAUAUUGGUUGUGUGUAGUGACUUUUGGGGGAUUGGAGACUAGAGUUGAUCUCUUAUUGCUUAGUAUGGCUGAUUUUGAUGUGAUCUUGGGUAUGUAUUGGUUGUCUCCAUGCCAUGCUAUUUUGUAUUGUCACGUUAAGACCGUGACGUUGGCGAUGCCGGGGUUGCCAAGGAUUGAGUAGAAAGGUUCUCUAGACUAUAUUCCCAGCAGAGUGAUUUCAUAUUUGAAGGCCCAACGGAUGGUUAGGAAGGGUUGUUUAUCUUAUUUGGCCUUUAUGAGGGAUGUUGGUGCUGAUACUACUACUGUUGAUUCUAUUCCGGUAGUACGAGAGUUUUCGGAUGUGUUUCCUGCAGUCCUGCCGGGUAUGCCACCCGACAGGUGUAUUGACUUGGUGCUAGGCACUCAGCCCAUUUCUAUUCCUUUGUAUCGUAUGGCACCAACUGAGUUAAAGGAAUUGAAAGAGCAGUUUCGGGAACUUCUUGAUAAGGGGUUUAUUAGGCCUAGUGUGUCGCCUUGGGGUGCACCAGUUCUGUUUGUGAAGAAGAAGGAUAGUACUAUGUGGAUAUGCAUCAACUAUAGGCAGUUGAACAAAGUUACAAUCAAGAACAAGUAUCCUUUUCUACGUAUUGAUGAUCUAUGUGACUUAUUUCAGGGAGCGAGGGUGUUCUCUAAGAUUGACUUGAGGUUUGGGUAUCACUAGUUGAAGAUUCGGGAUUCGAAUAUUCUAAAUACAACGUUCAGGACCCGUUAUAGUCAUUAUGAGUUCCUUGUGAUGUCUUUUGGGAUGACCAAUGCCCCAGUACCAUUCAUGCAUAUGAUGAACAAUGUAUUUUAGCCUUUUCUCGACUCGUUUGUCAUAGUAUUCAUUGAUGAUAUCUUGGUGUACUCUCGUAGCCAGGAGGAGCAUGCCCAGUAUUUGAGGAUUGUGCUGCAACGAUUGAGGGAGGAGAAACUUUAUGUCAAGUUCUCCAAGUGUGAGUUUUGGCUUAGUUCAGUGGUGUUCUUGGGGCACGUGGUGUCCAGUGAGGAGAUUCAGAUGGAUCCAAGAAAGAUAGAGGCACUUCAGAGUUGGCCCAGACCGUCCUCGCUAUGGAAAUUUAUAGUUUUCUCGGCUUGACUAGUUAUUAUUGUCACUUCGUGGAGGGUUUCUCAUCUAUUGUAUCUCCCUCGACCAAAUUGACCCAAAAGGUGCUACUUUCAGGUGGUCGGAUGAGUGUGAGGAGAGCUUUCAGAAGCUCAAGACUGCCUUGACCACAACUCCAGUUCUAGUUUUGCCUUCAGCUUCAGGAUCUUAUAUAGUGUAUUGUGAUGCUUCUCAGAUUGGUAUUGGGUGUGUCUUGCUGCAGAGAGGUAGAGUUAUUGAUUAUGCUUCGCGUCAGUUGAAGUCUCAUGAGAAGAACUACCAUGUUCAUGAUUUGGAGUUGGCUGCCAUCAUUCAUGCAUUGAAUUUUUGGAGACAUUAUAUCUACGGUGUGUUUGCGAGGUAUUUACGGAUCAUCGGAGUUUACAGCACUUGUUUAAACAAAAGUAUCAAAAUUUGAGACAGUGGAGAUGGUUGGAGCUUCUAAAGGACUAUGAUUUCAUUAUUCUGUAUCGUCCCGGGAAGGCCAAUAUGGUGGCGAUGCCUUGAGUAGAAAGGCGGUGAGUAUGGGUAGCCUUGCAUUCAUUCCUAUUGGUGAGAGACCACUUACAGUUGAUGUUCAAGCCUUGGCCAACCAAUUCAUGAUAUUAGAUGUUUCAGAGCCCAGCUGGGUUUAACUUGUGUGGUUUCUCGGUCUUCCCUAUAUGAUCGCAUAAGAGAGCGCCAAUUUGAUAAUCCUUAUUUACUUGUCCUUAAGGACACAGAUCAGCUCGGUGAUGCCAGAGAUGUUACUAUUGGGGAUGAUAGGGUGUUGAGGAUACAAGGUCAGAUUUGUGUGCCUAAUGUAGAUGGGCUACGUGAGUUGAUUCUUGAGGAGGCCCAUAGUUCAGGGUAUUCCAUUCAUCCAGGUGCCGCGAAGAUGUAUCAGGACUUGAGACAAUAUUAUUUGUGGAGGAGAACGAAAAAGGAUAUAGUGGGAUUUGUAGCUCGGUGUCUUAACUGUCAGCAAGCGAAGUAUGAGCAUUAGAGACUGGUGGAUUGCUUCAGAGGCUAAAGAUUCCAGAGUGGUAAUGGGAGCGGAUCACCAUGCAUUUUGUAGUUGGGCUCCCACAGACUUCGAUGAAGUUUGAUGCUAUUUGGGUGAUUAUGGAUCGGCUGACCAAGUUUGUGCAUUUUAUUCCAGUUGGGACUACUUAUUAUUCAGAGUGGUUGGCUGAGAUUUACAUCCAUGAGAUUGUCCGCCUUCACGGUGUGCCAGUGUCCAUCAUUUCGAAUUGGGGCACGCACUUUACAUCGCAUUUUUGGAGAGUCGUGCAGCGAGGAUUGGGCACCCAAGUUGAGUUGAGUACAACAUUUCACCCUUAGAUGGACGGACAAUCCGAGCGCACUAGUCAGAUAUUGGUGGACAUGCUACGUACUUGUGUCAUUAAUUUCGGGGCUUCUUGGGAUCAGUUUAUGCCGCUCGCGGAGUUUGCCUAAAAUAACAGCUACCAAUCGAGCAUUUAGAUGGCUCCGUAUAAGGCUCUAUGUGGGAGACAAUGUCAAUCUUCGGUGGGUUGGUUCGAGCCGGGGGAGGCUAGGCUAUUGGACAAGGUUAAAUUGAUUCAGGAUCGGCUUCACACGGCGCAGUCCAGACAGAAAAAUUACGCCAAUAGGAAGGUUCGGGAUGUUGCUUUCAUGGGUGGGGAGAAGGUACUACUUAAGGUUUCACCCAUGAAGGGUGUUAUGAGGUUCAGGAAGAAAGGCAAGUUGAGCCCUCGGUAUAUUGGGCUGUUUGAGGUACUUCAGAGGAUUGGAGAAGUGGCUUACAAGCUUGCCUUGCCACUUAGUUUGUCGAGUGUACAUACAGUGUUUCAUGUUUCUAUGCUCCGGAAGUAUGUCGGCGAUCCGUCUCAUGUUUUUUAUUUUAGCAUGGUUCAGUUGGAUGGUGAUUUGACUUAUGAUGUGGAGCCGGUGGCCAUUUUGGAUAAGCAGGUUCGAAAGUUGAGAUCAAAGAACAUAGUUUCAGUGAAGGUGCAAUGGAGAGGUUAGCCAGUUGAGGAGUCUAGUUGGGAGACUGAGUGGGAGAUGCAGAGCAGAUAUCCACGCCUAUUUGAGACACCAGGUAUGUUUCUAGACCCGUUCGAGGACGGACGUUUGUCUAAGAGGGGGAGGAUGAAAUGACUCGGCCGGUCGUUUUGAGUGUUGUAACCCCGUUCCUUCAUUUACUGCUCAUUUUGUUCUUUCUAGCUAUUAUGUGACUUUACGGGAUAGUCGAUUCAGGUCCGGAGAGAUUUCGAAAUGAAUUGAGACAUUUAGUCUCAUAGUUGAAAGCUUAAGUUGAAAAGUUGACCGAAUGUUGACUUAUGUAUAAAUGACUCCAGAAAGGAGUUUUGAUGAUUGUAUUAGCUCCUUUGGGUGAUUUUAGACUUAGGUGUGUCCGAAUUGUGAUUUGGAGGUCCGUAGUUGAAUUAAGCUUGAAAUGACAAAAGUUGGAAUUUAAAACUUUGACUGAGAGUGGUCUUUGUGGUUACCGGGCUUGGAUUGGAGUUUCGGGAGUUAGAAUAGGCCUGUGGUGUCAUUGUUGACUUUUAUGCAAAAUUUGGGGGCAAUUGAACGUGAUUUGAUAGGUUUCGGCGCCGUUUGUAGAAGUUGGAAUUUUCUUAGUUUCAAUAGGCUUGAAUUGGGGUGCGAUUCGUGUUUUUGUUGUUGUUUGAGGUGAUUGGAGGGCUCGACUAAGUUUGUAUCGUAUUUUAGGACUUGAUGGUAUGUUUGGUUAGGUCCCGGGAGCCUCGGGUGAGUUUCAGAUAGUUAACAGAUCAGUUUUGGACUUGGAAGGCUGCUGUAGAAUUUAUGGUAUCCAGCUAUGGUUUCCUCCUUCACGUUCGCGAUGGGAGUCCCGCGUUCGCGAAGAGUAGCUGAUGGAAGGUGUGGAUUUGUUAUUUCGCGCUCGCGAAGGUCUAGGUAGUUGGUGCAUCGCGAACGCGAGAAGGGGAAUGCAUUCGUGAUGAGGAGAGGAGGCAGCUGGGACCCCACGCGUUUGGUCUACGCGUUCGCGUAAGGUAGGUCGUGUUUGUGAAGCAUGGGGCCAGCAAGGUAUCAUGUUCGCGAGUGGUGCCUUGCGUUCGCGUAGGAGGCUCUUGGGUAGCAGAUUCAUUUGUGCUAUGCGAACGGGAGAAGGGGGCCGCGUUCGCAAAGUAGGGUUACCUGGGCUGAUUUAAACAUUUCAAAAAUGAGGGUUUGAGUUCAUAACACAAAAUUGAUUUUGGGAGCUCGGUGGGAGGAGAUUUGUUUAGAGCGAUUUUCAAGUGGGUGAUUGGGGUAAGUGAUUCUUACCUAGUUUUGGUUAAUUUCCAUGAUUAUAUUUUUGAUUUCAUCAUUUAAUUUGUGAUUGGGGGUGAAAACAUUGGGGAAAAAUGGAGGAAAGUUCUUAGGCCGAAUUUUGAGGUUUUGAUCGAGAUUUUUGUAUCGGAUUUGAGUAAUUUUGGUAUGGUUGGACUCGUGGUUGAAUGAGUGUUAGGAUUUUGUGACUUUCACCCAGUUAUGAGACGUGGGACAAGGGGGCGGCUUUUGAGUUGAUUUGUUUUGACUUUUGAUUAAGAGCUUAGUAUUUUCUUAAUAAAUUGAUUCCUUUAGCUCGUGUUGAUUAUAUCGAAUUGUUUGUGACUAGAUUCGAGGCAUUCGAAGGCCGUUUCGUGAGGCAAGGGCAUGUUGGAGUAGAGAUUUGCGUGGUUUGAGGUAAGUAACAAUUCUAAAUUUGGUUCUCAGGGUAUGAAACCCCGCAAUAUGUGUCAUGUGAUUGAUUUUGAGGUGACGCACAUGCUAGGUUACGGGCGUGUGGGCGUGCACCGUAGGAAUUAUGACUUGGUCAAUUCCAUGGAGCUGAAUAGUUGAAAACUCUAUUGUUAUCCCUAUAUUCUCCGUGUGCUACAGAAAUUGAACUGCAAAUCAUGUUAGAAAUCAUGUUUAAACUAUGUGUUGGCAUUGUAGGGACCCAUAAAGGUCGUGUACAUGUUGAAUUGUCUGCUAAAUUGUUAUUUGUACUCAGUCACAGUUUUACUUGCAUAUUACAUCUCAGUCUAUAUUGUUCAUUAUUGAUAUAUUAUAUCAUUGCUUUCUAGGCUGAUUAUCAUGAUUAGUGAGAGCCCGGGAGACUGGAGAGGUUGAUGACUGAGUGAGGCCGAGGGGCUGAUUUUGUGAGGAUAUUAUGGGAUCGGACUGCACGCCGCAGCAUGUUUCAUUAAUUUAUGCCAUGAUUGGCUUGGUGUAGCAUUUGGGAUGAAGGAUCCCCUCUGGAGUCUGUACACACCACUAAUGAGCGCAGGUACCUACUGAGUGUGAGUGCCGAGUGAUUGAGAGGAAUGAGAGACUGUGGGGAAUAAGUGACAGUGAGGUUGAAGUGCAUGGGAGGACUGAGUGACUGCUGCUAUGAGAUUUUGCACUUAAUUUCAUUACUGUUGUACUUCUCCUGGCAUAUAUCCUUGUCAUGUAAUCUCUGAGAGAUGUUAUAUCCUGUUUCCAAUUGAACUUGACAUGAAUUAACCGUUUUGGCCUUGAUUAUCAAAAUUGAAAGCAUGCCUAUCUUUCUAUGUUUGUAGUUUUUGUAAUUGAACUAUAUCUGUGGAUGUCACGACCCCAAUUUCCCUUUGUAGGAUAUCGUGAUGGCACCUAGUCUCUAAUACUAGGUAAGCCUAAUAAAUUUGCGGAAUAACGGAAUAUAAAACUGAACUCAAAUCCCAACACAUGAUAUAUAAAUAGAAAUUGCGAUUCAAAUAAUAAAAACUCCCAAAACCUGGUAGAAAUAAUUUACAAGAUUCUAAGAGAAAAUACAAAGUGUCUCUAUAUAUCAGAGUCUAAAGAGAAUAAGUAAAACGACAUAAUAAGUAUAGAGAGAGACUCCGAGGUGUGCAGACGCUGGCAGAUAUACCUUGUAGUCUCCGCGUACAGUUCUGCUCACUAGUAUCUGACCUGGUAGGAAGAACCUGGAUCUGCACAAAAAGAUAUGCAGAAGUGUAGUAUGAGUACACCACAAGGGUAUCCAGUAAGUUCCAAGCCUAACCCUGGUAGAGUAGUGAUGAUGUGAGGUCAGGGUCCUACUGGAAUAAAAGGAAAUGAGGUAGAUAAUAUAAUAAUACAAUGAAAUGACUAAGAAGUGAACAACAAAAAAUUACAGAAAGGUAACAGCAUAACAAAUAGAGGUACACAACAGGGGAGGCCGGGCCAGAUAUUAUGCACUUCCUGCUCGCACAGAGGCAGUUGCUUCUGAUUCUGUCAUUACAGGUAUUGUUUCGGUCUGUCAUAGAGAUGCAUCGGUAUUAUUUGACCCAGGCUCUACAUAUUCUUAUGUGUUCUCUUAUUUUGCCCCGUAUUUGGGCAUACCUCGGGAUUCUUUGAGUUCCCCUAUUUAUGUAUCUACUCCUGUGGGAGAUUCUCUUGUUGUGGACCGCGUGUAUCGGUCGAGUUUGAUUGCUCUUAGUGGUUUUGAGACCAGGGCCGAUUUAUUAUUGCUCAACAUGGUGGACUUUGAUAUUAUUUUGGGCAUAGACUGGUUGUCGCCCCAUUUUGUUAUUCUUGAUUGUUACGCUAAGACCGUGACGCUGGCUAUGCCAGGAUUUCUGUGAUUUGAGUGGAGAGGUACCUUAGAGUAUACUCCCAGCAGAGUUAUUUAAUUUCUUAAAGCUCAACGAAUGGUUGAGAAGGGGUGUG
This 42519-nucleotide long non-coding RNA is filed under the name Nicotiana tabacum (common tobacco). Its description in RNAcentral is "long non-coding RNA (NTAB_LNC002757)". Lineage: Eukaryota; Viridiplantae; Streptophyta; Magnoliopsida; Solanales; Solanaceae. The record is from RNAcentral.